This is a non-coding RNA of Picea glauca (white spruce), 109 nucleotides long. The record is from Rfam. Lineage: Eukaryota; Viridiplantae; Streptophyta; Pinopsida; Pinales; Pinaceae.
UAAAACAUAGUGUUAAUGUACUGGAUCCCAUUAGAACUCCAUAGUUAAGCGUGCUCAAGAUAGAGUAGUAGUGGGAUGGGUGACCACCCGGGAAGCCCUAAUGUUUUAC